RNAcentral lists this ribosomal RNA (327 nucleotides) under Triticum aestivum (bread wheat). RNAcentral's name for it is "partial small subunit ribosomal RNA". Lineage: Eukaryota; Viridiplantae; Streptophyta; Magnoliopsida; Poales; Poaceae. The record is from RNAcentral.
AUGGCACUACGUUUUGGCAUAUUACUUGCACAAAAGGCGAGAAGCAACCGACUUGUUGUUAACUCCGACAAUAUGGAAGUAAUUGACACAAUGAAGAAUGGAGGACAUACAGCGGGAGCGGCGGCAGCUGUGUUUGAUGAUUGUUAUUUUAUGGCUUAUGAUUUUCUGGUAGUUAGAUUUGAACAUUGUAAUAGGGAGGCUAAUAAAGUAUCUCAUGAAAUUGCUAGAGUAGCUAAAUUUUCUGAGACAAGGGAUUGGUUUGAGGAACCUAUGAACCAUAUUGUAAAUUUUCUUAUAGACGAUGUAACCAUUAUUACUAAUAAAUAA